GCAAACCCCACUUCGGGGAAUGCUGCACCUCCGCCUCCACCACCUACAGAACCAGCAGCCCCAGUUACUCAACCUCCUAGACCUAGCUCAGUCGAUGGGAGCAAGGUAAAGAUGACAGAUUACCUCAAGCUAGAUGCUCCCAAAUACAAGUCAGGGGAUGACCCCUUUGAGUAUCUGAGAGUAGUGAAGACAAUAACUGAUGAGCUAGGGGCAAGUGACAGCAGGGCCAUUCAGAUG
RNAcentral lists this long non-coding RNA (237 nucleotides) under Manihot esculenta (cassava). RNAcentral describes it as "long non-coding RNA (MESC_LNC006557)". Lineage: Eukaryota; Viridiplantae; Streptophyta; Magnoliopsida; Malpighiales; Euphorbiaceae. The record is from RNAcentral.